UGUUUCUGUACAUAUGUGUGCGAGCCAAGGGGUGUCUGGGUGGGAUGUAUUCAGGGCCAACAAACCCGACGUAUUCCCCUGAAACAGUUCACAGUAGGGACCCCAGUCUCCUUAUACAAUCCCCUCUCAUUGCGUCUUUGCACCCCUCCCCAUGGCUGACGGAAUAAAUGGCUGCAGAGACCUCCUAAAGCCCUUCCAUAGCCCUCAUCCCUGGUUUUCCAAGCCUUGAACUCCGCAAUCAUUGUUCUGCCGAACUUCACUCUCCAUCUACUCCUGGAAUGCAGGAGAGUUUCAGAUACCCGGACCAAGGUAGACAGGGCCAUAUACACAAGUCAGA
Molecule: long non-coding RNA, 337 nt
Organism: Rattus rattus (black rat)
Lineage: Eukaryota; Metazoa; Chordata; Mammalia; Rodentia; Muridae
Exons: 3
Source: RefSeq, a predicted model, not a curated record